RNAcentral lists this ribosomal RNA (254 nucleotides) under uncultured bacterium. RNAcentral's name for it is "partial 16S ribosomal RNA". It matches the Rfam family "Bacterial small subunit ribosomal RNA", at positions 15 to 263 of the family's 1533-position model. The record is from RNAcentral.
GAUCGUGGCUCAGGGUGAACGCUAGCGAUAGGCUUAACACAUGCAAGUCGAGGGGCAGCGAGGGAGUGGCAACACUUCUGUCGGCGACCGGCGCACGGGUGAGUAACGCGUAUGCAACCUGCCCUUCACAGGGGGAUAACCGGGAGAAAUUCCGACUAAUACCGCAUACGUCCUUUGGGGGCAUCCCCGGGGGAUGAAAGAAUUAUCGGUGAAGGAUGGGCAUGCGUGAUAUUAGGUAGUUGGCGGGGCAACGG